CCUACGGGAGGCAGCAGUGGGGAAUAUUGGGCAAUGGAGGCAACUCUGACCCAGCGACGCCGCGUGCGGGAUGAAGGCCUUCGGGUUGUAAACCGCUUUCAGUAGGGAAGAAGCGAAAGUGACGGUACCUA
RNAcentral lists this ribosomal RNA (131 nucleotides) under uncultured Actinomycetes bacterium. RNAcentral's name for it is "uncultured actinobacterium partial 16S ribosomal RNA". It matches the Rfam family "Bacterial small subunit ribosomal RNA", at positions 338 to 481 of the family's 1533-position model. The record is from RNAcentral. Lineage: Bacteria; Bacillati; Actinomycetota; Actinomycetes.